Molecule: ribosomal RNA, 465 nt
Filed under: uncultured Klebsiella sp.
Lineage: Bacteria; Pseudomonadati; Pseudomonadota; Gammaproteobacteria; Enterobacterales; Enterobacteriaceae
Description: bacterial SSU rRNA
Rfam family: Bacterial small subunit ribosomal RNA
Source: RNAcentral
CCUACGGGUGGCUGCAGUGGGGAAUAUUGCACAAUGGGCGCAAGCCUGAUGCAGCCAUGCCGCGUGUGUGAAGAAGGCCUUCGGGUCGUAAAGCACUUUCAGCGGGGAGGAAGGCGGUGAGGUUAAUAACCUCAUCGAUUGACGUUACCCGCAGAAGAAGCACCGGCUAACUCCGUGCCAGCAGCCGCGGUAAUACGGAGGGUGCAAGCGUUAAUCGGAAUUACUGGGCGUAAAGCGCACGCAGGCGGUCUGUCAAGUCGGAUGUGAAAUCCCCGGGCUCAACCUGGGAACUGCAUUCGAAACUGGCAGGCUAGAGUCUUGUAGAGGGGGGUAGAAUUCCAGGUGUAGCGGUGAAAUGCGUAGAGAUCUGGAGGAAUACCGGUGGCGAAGGCGGCCCCCUGGACAAAGACUGACGCUCAGGUGCGAAAGCGUGGGGAGCAAACAGGAGUAGAUACCCGAGUAGUC